AACGAACGCUGGCGGCAUGCCUAACACAUGCAAGUCGAACGAGACCUUCGGGUCUAGUGGCGCACGGGUGCGUAACGCGUGGGAACCUGCCCUUAGGUUCGGAAUAACUCCCCGAAAGGGGUGGUAAUAAUGGAUAAUGUCUUCGGACCAAAGAUUUAUCGCCUUUGGAUGGGCACGCGUUGGAUUAGCUAGUUGGUAGGGUAAAAGCUGAAUACGGGGACGAUCCAUAGCUGGUCUGAGAGGAUGAUCAACCACACUGGGACUGAGACACGCCCCAGACUCCUACUGGAGGCAGCAGUGGUGAAUAUUCGACAAUGGGCGAAAGCCUGAUCCAGCAAUGCCGCGUGAGUGAUGAAGGCCUUAGGGUUGUAAAGCUCUUUUACCCGGGAUGAUAAUGACAGUACCAGAAGAAUAAGCUCCGGCUAACUCCGUG
This 433-nucleotide ribosomal RNA is filed under the name uncultured bacterium. RNAcentral's name for it is "partial 16S ribosomal RNA". It matches the Rfam family "Bacterial small subunit ribosomal RNA", at positions 29 to 507 of the family's 1533-position model. The record is from RNAcentral.